Molecule: ribosomal RNA, 253 nt
Filed under: uncultured bacterium
Lineage: Bacteria
Description: partial 16S ribosomal RNA
Rfam family: Bacterial small subunit ribosomal RNA
Source: RNAcentral
UACGUAGGCAGCAAGCGUUGUUCGGAGUUACUGGGCGUAAAGGGUGCGUAGGCGGCUUUUUAAGUUUGGUGUGAAAUCUCCCGGCUCAACUGGGAGGGUGCGCCGAAUACUGAGAGGCUAGAGUGCGGGAGAGGUGAGUGGAACUGCGAGUGUAGAGGUGAAAUUCGUAGAUAUUCGCAAGAACACCAGUGGCGAAGGCGGCUCACUGGCCCGGUACUGACGCUGAGGUGCGAAAGCGUGGGGAGCAAACAGG